CCUACGGGAGGCAGCAGUGAGGAAUAUUGGUCAAUGGACGAGAGUCUGAACCAGCCAAGUAGCGUGAAGGAUGACUGCCCUAUGGGUUGUAAACUUCUUUUAUAAAGGAAUAAAACGAGGCACGUGUGCCUUUUUGCAUGUACUUUAUGAAUAAGGAACGGCUAACUCCGUGCCAGCCGCCGCGGUAAUACGGAGGAUCCGAGCGUUAUCCGGAUUUAUUGGGUUUAAAGGGAGCGUAGAUGGGUUGUUAAGUCAGUUGUGAAAGUUUGCGGCUCAACCGUAAAAUUGCAAUUGAUACUGGCAGUCUUGAGUGCAGUUGAGGUAGGCGGAAUGCGUGGUGUAGCGGUGAAAUGCUUAGAUAUCACGAAGAACCCCGAUUGCGAAGGCAGCUUACUAAACUGUGACUGACAUUGAUGCUCGAAAGUGUGGGUAUCAAACAGGAUUAGAUACCCCUGUAGUC
Molecule: ribosomal RNA, 460 nt
Filed under: uncultured bacterium
Lineage: Bacteria
Description: partial 16S ribosomal RNA
Rfam family: Bacterial small subunit ribosomal RNA
Source: RNAcentral